AAAUACCUAAGCUUUUCUUCAGUAGAUGCCAAUAAGAAUUGCUCUCCUGUAACUUUUAAAAGGGUUUGACAACCCUUAAUUCAAAACACUGAGCGGUAAUGUUGGAUCACAUGGUGUAAAGAUCAGACACGCUGAAGGUGAGAUAAUUUAAAGACACACAAAUGAUCCCUCUUUCAUACACAGAGGAGUUCUCAGAGGCCCGCUUGCUGUGUCUAGAAGACUAAUCAACAGGCAAGACCCACUGUGCAAUAAAGCUUCCUAUCAGGAUUCCACAUCUGGCUUGCACAUCUUAAUUUAAUGACGAUAUGGCAACACAGCCUUUCCAUUGCACAGCACAAAUUAACACAUUGACUUCUAAGGGCAUAAAUCUAACGGGUAGCAUGUUUUCCCUACAGAGUUGUACUAAGAAAGUUUUCUGGCCAGGAGGAAGAAACAUGAAGCAAGAAGAACAUAAGGAACUUAUUGAGACUAAGCCUUAGAGAAACCACUGCAGUCUGUUCUCAAUUCCCCGUUUCACAUUCCUGAUAUGACCCAUGGACUAUAGUUGAAAACUGAAGAGCAAUUAUGUUUAUGAUCUCCAUUCUCCGAGCUGAAACAGCAUCUCCACUCUGCAGCAUCACUUGCCCUAGAUCUUUUAUUAUCAUCUAAUAAUGAUGAUAAUGAAAUCUGUGGUUCUAAAUCAUACCGCAGUGUGGCAAGUAGAGUUGAACAAGGGCCUGGAAGAUCACGGCUGAAAUCUCCACUCUGUCAUGAAGCUCACUGGCUGACUUAGGGCCAGUCACUAACUCUCAGCUAAUCUUCCUCACAGAGCUGUCAAGAUGGU
Lacerta agilis (Sand lizard) is the source of this 823-nucleotide long non-coding RNA. RefSeq lists it as uncharacterized. The transcript is spliced from 3 exons. The record is from RefSeq and is a predicted model, not a curated record. NCBI's taxonomy places the organism in Eukaryota, Metazoa, Chordata, Lepidosauria, Squamata, Lacertidae.